CAGCCGCCGCGCGGUAAUACGAAGGGGGCUAGCGUUGUUCGGAAUUACUGGGCGUAAAGCGCACGUAGGCGGAUAUUUAAGUCAGGGGUGAAAUCCCGCAGCUCAACUGCGGAACUGCCUUUGAUACUGGGUAUCUUGAGUAUGGAAGAGGUUAGUGGAAUUGCGAGUGUAGAGGUGAAAUUCGUAGAUAUUCGCAGGAACACCAGUGGCGAAGGCGGCUAACUGGUCCAUAACUGACGCUGAGGUGCGAAAGCGUGGGGAGCAAACAGGAUUAGAUACCCGUGUAGUCCCUGUCUCUUAU
This 301-nucleotide ribosomal RNA is filed under the name uncultured bacterium. RNAcentral describes it as "partial 16S ribosomal RNA". It matches the Rfam family "Bacterial small subunit ribosomal RNA", at positions 509 to 807 of the family's 1533-position model. The record is from RNAcentral.